CUUGCAGAUUGGAUUUUAUAUAGCCACGCCUGAUGCGUAGAAGAUCAUUGUUCUUGGGAAGAAGAGAAAAUUACAAAGCUGUUUAUCAACGUUCGCUUGAAAGAUGAAAAAGUCAUUAAUUCUCGUCUUGUUUGUCGUCGGACUCCUCGUGCUCGCCGAAACAUCUGACGCUGUUUGGAGCGGAUUGAAUUGGAAUCAAAAACUGGCCAAUUUGCUCGUGGACGAUGAAAUCGCUUCAGCCAAAGACUUCAUGACGAUGGUUGAAAGUCUACACGAGAAAUGAGAUUCUUCAUGAACAAAUAUUCGUGCUUUAAAUAAAUAAAAGGAACUCGCAGAA
This is a non-coding RNA of Ciona intestinalis (vase tunicate), 337 nucleotides long. The record is from RefSeq and is a predicted model, not a curated record. Lineage: Eukaryota; Metazoa; Chordata; Ascidiacea; Phlebobranchia; Cionidae.